Molecule: transfer RNA, 74 nt
Filed under: Babesia caballi
Lineage: Eukaryota; Apicomplexa; Aconoidasida; Piroplasmida; Babesiidae
Description: tRNA-Lys
Rfam family: tRNA
About the family: Transfer RNA (tRNA) molecules are approximately 80 nucleotides in length. Their secondary structure includes four short double-helical elements and three loops (D, anti-codon, and T loops).
Source: RNAcentral
CGCCCUCUUAGCUCAGUCGGUAGAGCGUCAGACUCUUAAUCUGAUGGUCGGGGGUUCGAGCCCCCCAGGGGGCU